GAGGGUAUAGCUCAAGUGGUAGAGUGCAUGCUUAGCAAGCAUGAGGUCCUGGGUUCAAUCCCUGGUACCUCCU
This is a transfer RNA of Camelus ferus (Wild Bactrian camel), 73 nucleotides long. It matches the Rfam family "tRNA". Rfam says of the family: Transfer RNA (tRNA) molecules are approximately 80 nucleotides in length. Their secondary structure includes four short double-helical elements and three loops (D, anti-codon, and T loops). The record is from Rfam. NCBI's taxonomy places the organism in Eukaryota, Metazoa, Chordata, Mammalia, Artiodactyla, Camelidae.